UAUAAAAUUAUAAACUUUUUAAGACUAGUCUGAACAGUUUAUGCAACUGGCCCCUGGAUUUUUUUGGUGCUAAAGUCUUAACAAACCCAGAAUUUUGUCACUUAUAACAUGUUAUGUGCAACAUUGUUAAUUUUCUACUGUGCAAUAUUCAAUAUUGAGAUAAUUUAUUUUACUUUUACCUGAUGGCAGAGUGACAUUGCAGUAAAUUAACAAUGUUUGCUAAACUGUUUAUUGUCAAAAAUGGAAUUUUACAAAAUCAUUUUUUAGUCUGGUUUUUAAAACUGUAAACUGUAUUGCGAUUUCAAUCAGUAUGGACUGUGUAAAACCACUAAUGAUAUUAGUGAUUUUAAUAUUCCAAAUGUUCUAUUCAGAAUGGUCAUACUUGCAUCUGUAAUAGGUGUUUUUUUAAUGUAAUAA
Molecule: long non-coding RNA, 417 nt
Organism: Sinocyclocheilus rhinocerous
Lineage: Eukaryota; Metazoa; Chordata; Actinopteri; Cypriniformes; Cyprinidae
Exons: 3
Source: RefSeq, a predicted model, not a curated record